This 348-nucleotide ribosomal RNA is filed under the name uncultured soil bacterium. Its description in RNAcentral is "bacterial SSU rRNA". It matches the Rfam family "Bacterial small subunit ribosomal RNA", at positions 26 to 366 of the family's 1533-position model. The record is from RNAcentral.
AGAACGAACGCUGGCGGCGUGGAUAAGACAUGCAAGUCGAACGCUCAACUUUCAGUAGCAAUAUUGGAGGUUGGGAGUGGCGCAAGGGUGCGUAACACGUGGAUCAUCUACCUGGAAGUUUGGAAUAAUUCCGAGAAAUCGGGACUAAUGCCGGAUGUGGCGGAAACGCUAAAGUUGGGGACCGCAAGGCCUGACGCUUCCAGAUGAGUCCGCGGCCUAGUCAGCUAGUUGGCGGGGUAACGGCCCACCAAGGCUAAGACGGUAGCCUGGUCUGAGAGGACGACCAGCCUCACUGGAACUGAGACGACGGUCCAGACACCGUACGGGUGCAGCAGGUCAGUAAUUUUC